UGCACUGAAGACGUUAUGUUAUUUAGUAAAGAAUUUGUCGCUGGUUUUAACCCCCAAUCCAUCAACCUUGCUCGAAGGCGCCCCAGAUAAGGCCACUUUUUAAUGAUGUCUAGGGAUACAUUCAUAUCUAUUAUGUCCUUCCCGUCUUCAAGGCGGGAGGCUGUAAAUUGAAGACGAUAUGGCUGCGGUUUCUAGCAAGCUAAGCGCUGAUAUAGAUUCCUUCAAUUGUUCAUAAAAUAAAAGCCCAUGUAACAAAGAAAAGUUCUUAGAUUGAAUCAACGAGUUGCUAAGUGACAGCGAUGUAGUUCCAACGGAGUUAUACCCUUAUUGUAACAAAUUGGAUUGAUGAAGACCGGCCCGUCAAAAACUUUCGAGAAAGAAUUAAAAAGUUACGGAGAACCAAGAUUUUAAAAUGAUCGAGGCGAAUACGGAAAAGAGGUCGAAGUUGAAAAGUUCAAAAUCAAAAAAUACCAGAAAGGCGCACCAUCACAUCAUUGGCCAGCCAUGUAUGGUGCUUAAAAAAGAAAGAACCCCGUACAUAAUUAAAUGGAAGCUCCUUGAACAACCAGGGCUUAUACAAACAGGAGGAUUCUGAGAGAGCCAGUAUCCUAAAAAAACUAAUUUGAUCCAGGGACCAUUUUAAUCUCUAGGAAAGAGGUAUUCAUUUAAUGCCCACAUCUAAAACGUUUCCUACUUCAGACUUGGAAUUCCCUAUUCAUUGAAUAGUCCCACCACAGCUCCUUCAAAUAGCACCAUGGCAAGAGCCAAUGAAAGGGGGAUAAAUCUGUCCCAUCCGGCUAAUCCCGUCCCGCAGCACAGACAGUCUGGAAGAAAAGCAGUGACCAUCACCCACUACAGGGCCUCCAAAAUUGGUAGUUGGGAGUAAAGGCUGAAGAUAUUCUCAAACCAGGGUCGUAGCACAAAUGAUUGCAACAUAGAGGAUUCUGCUAAAGACACCCAAUGUAUCAGGCAAUGGGAUUUGAACUCAGAACUCAAAGAUCUAAAAUAAAUGCCAUAAAGCAUCUGGUCUGAUAUUCUUACUGUUUCACCAAACCCCAGCCCUAGACUGGUACUUUUUUAUUGCCUCCACACCACCACCAUCACCAAAAGAAUGAAAGAAAGUGGAACUUGGCUGAAUUUGUAGUUAGAUUGCUAAGAAUCAGAACAAAUACCACAAGGCACUUUAUCUGAUGCUCUGCUACCUUAAUCAGGCCACCAGCUAACAAAGACAUGAAACUUA
This is a long non-coding RNA of Octopus sinensis (East Asian common octopus), 1240 nucleotides long. RefSeq lists it as uncharacterized. Lineage: Eukaryota; Metazoa; Mollusca; Cephalopoda; Octopoda; Octopodidae. The record is from RefSeq and is a predicted model, not a curated record. The transcript is spliced from 3 exons.